Molecule: ribosomal RNA, 403 nt
Filed under: Verrucomicrobiota bacterium
Lineage: Bacteria; Pseudomonadati; Verrucomicrobiota
Description: Verrucomicrobia bacterium partial 16S ribosomal RNA
Rfam family: Bacterial small subunit ribosomal RNA
Source: RNAcentral
UGGGGAAUAUUGCACAAUGGGCGCAAGCCUGAUGCAGCAACGCCGCGUGAACGAUGAAGGUCUUCGGAGCGUAAAGUUCUGUUGCAGGGGAAGAUAAUGACGGUACCCUGUGAGGAAGCCCCGGCUAACUACGUGCCAGCAGCCGCGGGAAUACGUAGGGGGCUAGCGUUAUCCGGAUUUACUGGGCGUAAAGGGUGCGUAGGUGGUCCUUCAAGUCGGUGGUUAAAGGCUACGGCCCAACCGUAGUAAGCCGCCGAAACUGGAGGACUUGAGUGCAUGAGAGGAAAGUGAAAUUCCUAGUGAAGCGGUGAAAUGCGUAGUUAUUAGGAGGAAUACCGGUGGCGAAGGCGACUUUCUGGACUUUUACUGACGCUCAGGUACGAAAGCGUGGGGAGCAAACAGG